CUCGUUCUUAUUCUCCCUUUGUUUAAAACCAACACUCCUGGUAAUCAAAGCCUGUUUCAUAACCAACCAGCUUAUGUCUAAUAUUCAUUAGCCACUCAACUAAAAUAUACAUAGAAAUUGCUAAAUACAUUUCUACAUUUAUAAGUCCUUCAAGGAGCAAACGGCUAAACAAACUGUGGUACAUUCAUCAUAGAACACCACUAGGAAUAAAAAGGAACACUAUUCAUACACACAACAACUUGGAUAAACCUCAAGAAAAUUAUGCUGAAUGAAAAUUACCAGUAUGAAAGAAAUAUAUGCUGCAUGAUUCCAUGUAUAUAGAAUUCCUGAAAUGACACAGUUAGAGUGACAGUGAACAGCGUGGGAGCCAGUUGGGAUUCUUUAAAAGGCCUGCUGUGUUGCUGAGUGUCCUAGAAGAAUGUAGCAUUGCAGUGGUUCCGGCUGAACCAAUAAAUCAUGACCUGAAAACACCA
This is a long non-coding RNA of Homo sapiens (human), 473 nucleotides long. NCBI's taxonomy places the organism in Eukaryota, Metazoa, Chordata, Mammalia, Primates, Hominidae. The record is from Ensembl.